This 185-nucleotide ribosomal RNA is filed under the name uncultured bacterium. Its description in RNAcentral is "partial 16S ribosomal RNA". It matches the Rfam family "Bacterial small subunit ribosomal RNA", at positions 337 to 524 of the family's 1533-position model. The record is from RNAcentral.
UCCUACGGGAGGCAGCAGUAGGGAAUAUUCCGCAAUGGGCGAAAGCCUGACGGAGCGACGCCGCGUGAGGGAUGAAGGCCUUCGGGUCGUAAACCUCUGUUAAGAGGGACGAUGCCUGCCUUCGGGCGGGUGACGGUACCUUUAGAGAAAGCCCCGGCCAACUACGUGCCAGCAGCCGCGGUAAU